RNAcentral lists this ribosomal RNA (951 nucleotides) under Rana taihangensis. Its description in RNAcentral is "partial 16S ribosomal RNA". It matches the Rfam family "Bacterial large subunit ribosomal RNA", at positions 970 to 2561 of the family's 2925-position model. The record is from RNAcentral. Lineage: Eukaryota; Metazoa; Chordata; Amphibia; Anura; Ranidae.
UUUAGACUUAAGAGCUAUUCAAAUAAGGCACAGCUUAUUUGAAAUAGGACACAACCUACAACAUAGGGUAAACUAGAGUGACCUAAAUAAAGUGGGCCUAAAAGCAGCCACCUUUAGAAAAGCGUUAAAGCUUAACUACCUUCACUCAUAAUGCCUAAAAUCUCCACUAACCCUUCAUUACUACUGAACAAUUUUAUACUCAUAUAAAAGCUAUCAUGCUAGAACUAGUAACAAGAAACUGCUUUUCUCCUAAAUGUAAACAUAAACCAAAAUAGACUCUCUAUUGGUUAUUAACGUAAAUGCUAAACUGUAGCAACACUCACUAGAAAAUCCUAUAAACCCCAACGUUAACCUUACACCAGAACAUUACAGGAAAGAUUAAAAGAAAAAGAAGGAACUCGGCAAAUUUUAGCCUCGCCUGUUUACCAAAAACAUCGCCUCUUGACAAAACAUAAGAGGUCCAGCCUGCCCAGUGACAAAGUUCAACGGCCGCGGUACCCUAACCGUGCAAAGGUAGCACAAUCACUUGUUCUUUAAAUGAGGACUCGUAUCAACGGCACUACGAGGGCUAUACUGUCUCCUUUUUCUAAUCAGUGAAACUGAUCUCCCCGUGAAGAAGCGGGGAUUAUAAUAUAAGACGAGAAGACCCCAUGGAGCUUUAAACUCACCAUGCACCUCUGUGCUCCUAUACCCCUAAACACAACAGACCUGCAUGUUAGUUUUAGGUUGGGGUGACCACGGAGUAUAACUUAACCUCCACAGCAAACGGGCUAAUACCCUUAUCCACGAGACACAACUCUAAGAAUUACUAAACUAAUGCUUACGACCCGAUAUUCGAUCCAUGAACCAAGUUACCCUGGGGAUAACAGCGCAAUCUACUUCAAGAGCCCAUAUCGACAAGUAGGUUUACGACCUCGAUGUUGGAUCAGGGUAUCCCGGUGGUGCGAGCCG